This 243-nucleotide unclassified non-coding RNA is filed under the name uncultured fungus. RNAcentral's name for it is "sequence contains ITS2". Lineage: Eukaryota; Fungi. The record is from RNAcentral.
AACGCAUAUUGCGCCCCUUGGUAUUCCUUGGGGCACACCUGUUCGAGCGUCAUUUCACCAAUCAAGCCUCGCUUGGUAUUGGGCGAUGCGGCCUGCCCGCACGCCUCAAAUGCAACGGCCGAACGUGCUCUCCUCCGGCGUCGUGGAAACAUACCGCUAUGGGGAUGAGGGCGACUCGUGCCGCACAAACCUAACAUUCCAAAGGUUGACCUCGGAUCAGGUGGGGAUACCCGCUGAACUUAA